UACGUAGGGUGCGAGCGUUAAUCGGAAUUACUGGGCGUAAAGCGUGCGCAGGCGGUUUUGUAAGCCAGAUGUGAAAUCCCCGGGCUUAACCUGGGAAUGGCAUUGGUGACUGCACGGCUAGAGUGUGUCAGAGGGGGGUAGAAUUCCACGUGUAGCGGUGAAAUGCUUAGAUAUCGUCAAGAACACCUAUAGCGAAGGCAGCUUACUAGGCUGUAACUGACGCUGAGGCACGAAAGUGUGGGGAUCAAACAGG
Molecule: ribosomal RNA, 253 nt
Filed under: uncultured bacterium
Lineage: Bacteria
Description: partial 16S ribosomal RNA
Rfam family: Bacterial small subunit ribosomal RNA
Source: RNAcentral